RNAcentral lists this ribosomal RNA (253 nucleotides) under uncultured bacterium. Its description in RNAcentral is "partial 16S ribosomal RNA". It matches the Rfam family "Bacterial small subunit ribosomal RNA", at positions 524 to 776 of the family's 1533-position model. The record is from RNAcentral.
UACGAAGGGGGCUAGCGUUGCUCGGAAUCACUGGGCGUAAAGGGUGCGUAGGCGGGUCUUUAAGUCAGGGGUGAAAUCCUGGAGCUCAACUCCAGAACUGCCUUUGAUACUGAGGAUCUUGAGUUCGGGAGAGGUGAGUGGAACUGCGAGUGUAGAGGUGAAAUUCGUAGAUAUUCGCAAGAACACCAGUGGCGAAGGCGGCUCACUGGCCCGUAACUGACGCUCAUGCACGACAGCGUGGGGAUCAAACAGG